UCUCUGGUGGUCCAAUGGUCAGGCUUCUUUGCUUUCACUGCCAAAGGCCCAGGUUCAACCCCUGGUCAGGGAA
RNAcentral lists this transfer RNA (73 nucleotides) under Capra hircus (goat). It matches the Rfam family "tRNA". From Rfam's summary of the family: Transfer RNA (tRNA) molecules are approximately 80 nucleotides in length. Their secondary structure includes four short double-helical elements and three loops (D, anti-codon, and T loops). The record is from Rfam by way of RNAcentral. Lineage: Eukaryota; Metazoa; Chordata; Mammalia; Artiodactyla; Bovidae. RNAcentral also lists the same sequence under 1 other name.